CUGAGUACUACUACUCUCUACCCUUUGUGAACUAUUAUACCUGUUGCUUCGGCGGCGCCCGCGAGGGUGCCCGCCGGUCUCAUCAGAAUCUCUGUUUUCGAACCCGACGAUACUUCUGAGUGUUCUUAGCGAACUGUCA
Molecule: unclassified non-coding RNA, 139 nt
Filed under: soil metagenome
Description: partial internal transcribed spacer 1
Source: RNAcentral